GAACCAGAUAAUCACACACAAAGCAUACAAUACUCAAGAUAAGGACAGAGUUACCCUCCUUCGCGACCGGAGAAGAUCGGCCUUCAAUCAACAGAGAAAAUCCUAGGUACAAAACCCUAGGUGCAACCGUCGAAAACCUUACUGGAAAUAUGGACAGGGAUGUCGGAAAGUCAACCAAAACAUCCACUGAGUGAGGAUCGAGCCACCGGAUAGCAGUAAAACCCUAGGUUCAACCAC
This 237-nucleotide long non-coding RNA is filed under the name Nicotiana benthamiana. RNAcentral describes it as "long non-coding RNA (NBEN_LNC001027)". Lineage: Eukaryota; Viridiplantae; Streptophyta; Magnoliopsida; Solanales; Solanaceae. The record is from RNAcentral.